This 497-nucleotide ribosomal RNA is filed under the name uncultured bacterium. Its description in RNAcentral is "partial 16S ribosomal RNA". It matches the Rfam family "Bacterial small subunit ribosomal RNA", at positions 28 to 507 of the family's 1533-position model. The record is from RNAcentral.
GAUGAACGCUGGCGGCGUGCCUAAUACAUGCAAGUCGAGCGAACAGACGAGGAGCUUGCUCCUCUGAUGUUAGCGGCGGACGGGUGAGUAACACGUGGAUAACCUACCUAUAAGACUGGGAUAACUUCGGGAAACCGGAGCUAAUACCGGAUAACAUGUUGAACCGCAUGGUUCAACAGUGAAAGACGGUCUUGCUGUCACUUAUAGCUGGAUCCGCGCCGCAUUAGCUAGUUGGUAAGGUAACGGCUUACCAAGGCAACGAUGCGUAGCCGACCUGAGAGGGUGAUCGGCCACAUUGGAACGGAGACACGGUCCAGACUCCUACGGGAGGCAGCAGUAGGGAAUCUUCCGCAAUGGGCGAAAGCCUGACGGAGCAACGCCGCGUGAGUGAAGAAGGUCUUCGGAUCGUAAAACUCUGUUAUUAGGGAAGAACAAAUGUGUAAGUAACUAUGCACGUCUUGACGGUACCUAAUCAGAAAGCCACGGCUAACUACGUG